RNAcentral lists this long non-coding RNA (788 nucleotides) under Helianthus annuus (common sunflower). RNAcentral's name for it is "hypothetical non coding rna". The record is from RNAcentral. Lineage: Eukaryota; Viridiplantae; Streptophyta; Magnoliopsida; Asterales; Asteraceae.
GGGUGUGGUGGUGAGUGAUGACCACCCCCACUAAAAAUGGUUGUGAGUGAUGGAAAAAUGGUCAAUGACAUGGCGAAACUUGAUUGGUGCUUGUGAGUGAUAAAUUCUAUCACUAGUGAACCACCCCUAGUCCCCUUGUAAUAAUAAUCUAAACACGAAAUAACCUUUCGAUAAGUUCAAUGUUCACAUCUACAUCUACAUAAAGCAAUGAAGAGACGAUGUGUAUCAGGAUGCUUUUCCGGUGACCGUACAAAUGUAGCAUACAGCAAGGUUUUCAUUUCAGUUUUCUACAACUCAGUUUAUAAUACACACACAAAAAUAUAUAUCAUCUAGAGGAUUAACAGAAACUAACCUGUUCGACGAUUUGACGACGUGUGAGAUUAUCAAAACCAGACACGAGCGCAUACGCACCGGAAACAACGAGGAGACUUGCUCCGGCAUCCUGAAUCAGAUCGACGGUGAAAGCACGUGGUGGAAGAAGAAGAAGAUGUGGUUUAACGUGAACAUCAUCAACACAAACAUUAUGAGUAAGAUGAUGAUGACGAAAAUGUGUAAUUGGAUUAGAAGUAGCGUAUCUCGGAGUGCGUAAGUGUGGCCGGAGGAUUGAGAGUUUGCGGUUAGCAGCGGUGGCGAUGGUGGUUGCAACGGCCAUGUGGAUGAGACGAGUCUCUUGUGAGUUGUGACUAGUGACUUGCUGGACCAACUCCAUGCGCUAUUUGUCUGUGCGUUGCCGCUGGUAUUGGAUCAGUAUCGGUUUAUUACACUAUCGGUAUGCUACAUACACUUGA